Harpia harpyja (harpy eagle) is the source of this 2899-nucleotide long non-coding RNA. RefSeq lists it as uncharacterized. The transcript is spliced from 5 exons. The record is from RefSeq and is a predicted model, not a curated record. NCBI's taxonomy places the organism in Eukaryota, Metazoa, Chordata, Aves, Accipitriformes, Accipitridae.
AGUCUCCUUUGUAUUUCCCAGCUACCCAGUUUCUGCUUCCACUGCAUGCUUUUGCCUUUGUGUGAGUGCCGGCCCACACCUAACUCUUUGUCCCAGACCUGUGAUGGCAGCAUUGCUGUCCUGCAGUGACAUGAGUGACAAAAUCUGCUGAUUCUUUCAUUCCAGCUUGUUCUGAUGACUGUGCAUGUUGAACAAUGCUACAGACUGCAGAAGGAACGAUGUCUGUUUUCCAAAAUGUCCCUAUCAUAUGGAUUCUUUAACAUCUAGGAAAAAACUUCCACGGGUGGUCAAAAGACUCUCUUGUUUUGGCCAGCUUACGAUGCCCUGUCAGCCCUGACUACUUUACCUCAAGCAAUCCCAUUGAGGUAAAUGGAACUAAAUAAGGAGAAGAUGCUACCCAAGGCAUUGGCUGAAUGAUCCUUGUGGAAGACAGACUUCUAUUUAUCCAUGGAUGGUGUACAGACUGGAUUGUAACAAAAUUAUAUUUCACCAAGAUGAUGACAGAGAUCCUAUGAGGCCUUCCCAACACUUACACUGGCAGAGUGGAGAGAAGAGGGAACCAUAGUGCAAGGAUAUGAAGAGUCACUGAGGGCACGGGAGGGAGGGAAGGUCCUUCCCAAGCCAGGUCCUUUGCCAGAGCCAGAUGUGCAUACCAUGUUUAACUGCAGUUUGGGAAAAAAAGAAACAGCAAGGAAAUCCUAUCUACUUUAAUGUGUUUUGGGAAGAUGAUGGGACAGAUGCAAGUAGCAGAGUAUCUCAGACUUACCUAAUUACAGACUUUGUAUACAAACCAAAAGUUAAAUGUGAUUAAAAUGUACACACACAAAAAUGUUGUAAUUGUAUGAAGGUUAUCAGGCAAAUUUAUUUAGACUGUGUCCCUUAACACAAGGGUUUGUUUUUCUGGAAAACUGCGCUUCAUCAAAAAUGCCAACGUUGCCGAACUAGAGUUGAACUUUGAAACUGUGACCUGUCACAAGGAGACUUCCCGUGUGACCUUGGGGAGAUCUCUUCACCUACCUGUGCCUCAAUCCUCCAUCGUCUGGAACAAUAAAUAAGUAAAUAACUAAGAGCAGGAAGAGGGAAUAACCUUUCUUCUGCCGUUUUGCACCUGCCUUGUCUAUUUAGAUUGCAAGCGGUUCAGGGAGGGGAUUAAAUACCCUGUGCUUUUAACACUGCGAACAAAAUGAAGCCUGAUCUAAAAGGGGGCCUAGGAGAGCUGUUGUAAGAUGUGGUACAUGGUCCAGUCUGCCUUUAAAGGCUUUAAGAUCUUGCAAAUAGGGAAGUGGCAUUUUCCUCCCCAUUUAUUACAAAUGCUACUAUGAUAAUUGAUUGUUGAAUGCUCAUAAGGAGAGAGAAGGAUCCUGUCCAAAGAAGACAUAAUGCAGCAGCGAAUGUUCCUCCCAACAGGCGCUGGUGGGACAAGCACAGCCCCUUGGUUCUGGUUCAGAAAUGAAAAUACCUUACUCUGAUCCUUCCCUAACCUCUCCUGUACGUUUUCUUCUCCCCUCCCCCUUAUUUUCUUGAAGUUCAGCUGUGCAUGUUCCUGUUUUGAUUACACAGGAUAGACUUUCUUACCCUUACAUUUCAUUGUGUAAUUAUUAUUUACCUCUAGCUCCCAUUUCAGCUGUAGUUACCAAAGUCUUGAAUUUAUUUGCUUAUAGCAAGUCGCUACCUGAAAUGCCAUGUGGAUGGCUUAACUCAUUCCUUUCCCUCCAGGGGACCCUUUGCAAUGUCAAACAAUGUAAAGCAGCAAAGUAGGUCAUGGUUAGAUAGUCACUUAAAGCCAGCAUGAAUCUGUACUGCUGCCCAGAAAAGCAGCUUUUACCCUUUCCUCACCACUUGUGCUCACCACCUCUCUCAUGCUGGCACCAGCGUUUGUUUGGCUGCUUGGUGAGCCAGAGGGAAUUAAUCCAGUUAUUACUAGCCUGGCAAAAUAGAUGGCAAAAAAAUCAAUAAAACCUUAAACUGGCCACAACAACAGAAAAAAAGGUAACCACAGACUUACACGGCAAGGGCUGGGCUCUCUGCCUAGUCACGUUUAACCCAGUGACUUAUUGGGGAGGACUCUGGAAUCUACCGUUCUGUUUUCCCCCUUGUGAGAGAGAGUUAAUCAUGUAUGACAAGAAACCUAAAGCUUUCUUUUCUUCCCUAGUGAAACUAAAUGUGUACAAUUCAGUAUUUUGCCUCUACUUUCUUCCUUUACAGCCAGAAAGAAGUAAUGUUACGGCAUUAGGAGAAAAUAUUCUUUGCUAUUCUUUCUUAUUUUGCAUGGGUUGGUCCCGCAGGAAUUUAAACAAAUCACUUCCUUCUUCCUUCGCUCAGCAACAGUGGCAAAUCGUAUACCUGAAUUUUCAGUUGAUCUGUUCCAUAGGUCAGAGAAAAGGUGUGUCGUAUCAUCUGGUCUUUACUGUUACUUAUGGUGACGGAUGUGCUUAUUACUUUAACAAGGCACAAAACUCCAUUCACGCUCCAGGGGCUCAUUCCCGAGGUCCUCCAUACUACCGUUUUAAAGUGAUGCUCUACUGGGACAUGGCGAAAUAGUCAGAGAGAGUGUGAUACGGCUGGGGCCGAAGCAGACGGAGGAAGAGCGGUUGUGGCUCUGCAUCAGGCUACACUCCUCCUUCCCGCCAAAGCAUGCAUCCGCGUGUGACUCCAGGCGUGCCAUUGUCCCAUCGGGAUUUGUUCAGCCACAAAACACCCAGCCGAAGUCAGCUGCAGGGCAAAAAUCAGAAAGCAUGAAAAUCAGAGACCACAACCUGAGCGACCUUGCCCCGGAAGAAGGUCACGUAAAAAUUCUUUUUGCGCAGCUUCUUGCAGCGAUUCCUCUGCGCGUUCCUUCCAGCCCAGUCUCCGGCCCUGUGGAGCACCGACGACGCUUCCCCACCUCGCUAGCCGAUUG